UAUCCGCCCGGGAACUACGAGCACCAGCUUAAAACCCAAAGGACUUGGCGGUGCUUUAGAUCCUACUAGAGGAGCCUGUUCUAGAACCGAUACCCCCCGUUCAACCUCACCCUUCCUUGUUUUUCCCGCCUAUAUACCGCCGUCGUCAGCCCACCCUGUGAAGGUUUAAAAGUAGGCUAGAUUGGCAUAGCCCAGAACGUCAGGCCGAGGUGUAGCGUAUGGAGGGGGAAGAAAUGGGCUACAUUCCCUAUUUUAGGGCAAAACGAAUGAUAUGCUGAAACGCACAUCUUGAAGGAGGAUUUAGCAGUAAGUAGGAAGUAGAGCACUCUGCUGAAAUUGG
RNAcentral lists this ribosomal RNA (340 nucleotides) under Dissostichus eleginoides (Patagonian toothfish). RNAcentral describes it as "partial 12S ribosomal RNA". It matches the Rfam family "Bacterial small subunit ribosomal RNA", at positions 866 to 1371 of the family's 1533-position model. Lineage: Eukaryota; Metazoa; Chordata; Actinopteri; Perciformes; Nototheniidae. The record is from RNAcentral.